Molecule: long non-coding RNA, 2271 nt
Filed under: Chrysolophus pictus (golden pheasant)
Lineage: Eukaryota; Metazoa; Chordata; Aves; Galliformes; Phasianidae
Description: lncRNA (ENSCPIG00010004538.1)
Source: RNAcentral
GUCGGUGUCUCCCCAUUGGGUUAUGGGGCCCCAUAAGGUCCCUAUAGAUCCCUAUGGGUCCCUAUUGGAAUCCUAUAAAUCCCUGUAUGUCUCUAUAGGGCCCCUGUAGGUCCCUAUGGGUCUUUAUGGGGUCUCUGUUGGUCCCUAUGGGUUCUUAUGGGGUUCCUAUAUGGGGUUAUGGGUUGGCGUCACCCCACUGGCUUAUGGGGCUCCAUAAGGUCCCUAUAGAUCCCUAUGGGGUCCUGUGGAGUCUCUGUAGGUCUCUAUGGGUCUUUAUGGGAUCUCUGUAGAUCCCUAUGGGUUCUUAUGGGGUUCCUGUAUGGGGUUAUGGGUCGGCGUCACCCCACUGGUUUACGGGGCCCCAUAAGGUCCCCAUAGAUCCCUAUAGGUCCCUAUUGGAGUCCUAUAGAUCCCUGUAUGUCUCUAUGGGGUCUCUGAAGGUCUCUAUGUGUCUUUAUGGGGUCUCUGUAGGUUCCUAUGGGGUUUUUCUAUGGGGUUAUGGGUCAGUGUCACCCCAGUGGGUUAUGGGGCCCCAUAAGGUCCCUAUAGAUGCCAAUAUGGCUCCCUAUAGGGGGCCUAUAGAUCCCAAAGCCUCAGUGCUCUCCCCUGGGGUUAAGGCUCCGCCCCAUAAGCACCACCACCCCGUCAAGCCUUUUGACCCCACAAAACCCUUCCGCCCCUACAGACGAUUUCCGGAUCUUUUGCGGGGAUCUGGGCAACGAGGUGAACGACGACAUCCUGGCUCGCGCCUUCGGCAGGUACCCCUCCUUCCUCAAGGCCAAGGUGAUCCGCGACAAGCGCACCGGCAAGACCAAGGGCUACGGCUUCGUGUCCUUCAAGGACCCCAACGACUACGUCAGGGCCAUGAGGGAGAUGAACGGGAAGUACGUGGGCAGCCGGCCCAUCAAGCUGCGGAAGAGCAUGUGGAAGGAGCGCAACCUGGACGUGGUGCGCAAGAAGCAGCGCGAGAAGAAGAAGCUGGGCCUGCGCUAGGAGCCAUCUUGGUUCCGCUUCAUCAUGGCCGCCGCCGUCUUGGAUUCGGGUUUAUGGGGGCCGCCAUCUUGGAUUCGGGUUCAUCGUGGCCGCCAUCUUGGAUUCGGGUUUUUGUGGAUUGGGGUUCAUCGUGGCCGCCAUCUUGGAUUGGGGUUUAUCAUGGCCGCCAUCUUGGAUUUUGUAGGGCCUACCAAAAUGGCGGCGAUGCUGCGAUUAAAGGGCCAAAGGGGGUUUUGUUUACGUUGGGGUUUGGUGUGGGGUCUGCUUCAAUUAAUUAAUGGCGUCGUCACGGGGUUCGUCUCGUUAGCGAGGUGAUUAAUAGGGGUCCGAGCUCGGUGGGGUUUCUGUAGGUCCUACUUAAUUAUGGCGUCUUAAUUGGGCUCAUCUCGUUAGUGAGGUGAUUAAUGGGGGUCCGAGUUUCUUUAUGUGGAGUUUUUGUAGGUCCUACUUUAAUUAAUGGCCUCAUAAUUGGAGUAAUGCCAUUGACGGAGUCAUUAAUGGGGCUCUGGGUUUGUCCAUAUGGGGUUUCCGUAGGUCCUACUUUAAUUACAGCCUCAUAAUUGGGCCCAUCUCAUUGGUGAGGUAAUUAGUGGGGACCUGGGUUUGGUUGCUUGGAGUUUCCGUAGGUCCUACUUUAAUUAUGGCCUCAUAAUUGGGCCCAUCUCAUUAGCGAGGUAAUUAGUGGGGACCUGGGUUUGCUUACAUGGGGUUUCCGUAGGUCCUACUUUAAUUACAGCAUCUUAAUUGGACUAAUGCCAUUGAUACAGUAAUUAAUGGGCUUACAUCCAGAGGCCCCGCCCCCACAACGUUCCCAUUGGUUGUGACCGUGAAGCUCCGCCCCCACAACGCUCCCAUUGGUUGUCACCGUGAAGCCCCGCCCCGACAACACUCCCACUGGUUGUCCCCGUGAAGCCCCGCCCCCACAAAGCUCCCAUUGGUUGUCCCCGUGAAGCCCUGCCUCCACAACACUCCCAUUGGUUGUCCCCGUGAAGCCCCUCCCCCACAGCAUUUCCAUUGGCUGUCCUCGUGAAGCCCCGCCCCAACCACACUCCCAUUGCUUGCAAUCAUUUAUUGACGCUCCGCUCAGCCAAUCACAGCGCACAGCGCCCCGCCCGCACUCUUCCCUCAGGGGCGGGGCUUGCUCUGCAGUCCGGAAGGGGCGUGGCUACGGGUAGCACGUGCCCAGCGUUCCAGCCAAUGAGAGAAGGGGACGCUCCCGGGGGGCGUGGCCAGGACCCACUGUGCCGGCUGCUCCCACCUGGAAGGGGAGGAGCCAGA